CAAAGAUGCUGUACUAGCUGCUAGAACGUCUUGGGAGGUUUGGGCUGCCGUAACAAAAUACCACAGCCUGAGGGGCUGAAACAACAGAAAUUCAUUUUCUCAUGCUCCUAAAGGCUGGAAGUCCAAGAUCGAGGUUGUCCAUAAUUUUGGUUUCUCCCAAGGCCUCUCUCCUUAUCUUGCAGACACCCAUCUUUUUGCUGAGUCUUCACAUGGCUUUUUCUCUGUGCAGGACUAAUGGCCUAAGGAAAUCUCUUUGCACCCCUGAUCACUGAGAAAGAAGCAGAAGAUUCUGGAGGCAGCAUAUUCAGCAGUUGACAAUUUUGCUACAACCCAUUUAUCAGGUGGCAUCGAAGGUCCUUGGGUUGGACAGUUCUCGCCCAGUCAACCCACCAGGAAUCUGUGACCUACCAGAAUCCCGGAGAUCCUGCGUCUGGAAGGAGUAAGCCAAAUAGGAGAACAUAUUUGCCGUCUUCAUUUGCCAUGAAAACACAUGUCCAUGCUCUGAACACAGCCCAGUGGACAAUGCGUGGCUGGAGGAAAACAUGAAGGUUUGUGGGGGCAGUGACCUUGGAAUGCUGCAUGGAGAGCACCUGGCACAGAGUCUGGCGGGCCACAGGAGCUUGGGCAUCGUGGCCAUCCUCGGGAGGUAGCCUGAUGACAGAUCCUGGAGGGUAUGAAGCAGAGAGUAUGGGCCAUUGGAGUCAGAGCCCCCAGUGGGACUAGCAAGGAGAACCAAGGAUUCUGGAUUUUGCAGCCACAUGGAGGCCAUGAAGAUGGACCAAAAGGGACAGGAGUCAAGGCCCUAAGGAGGACGCAAUGACUUGGGGACUGGUCACACUUUCACAGAGGCAAAUUCAUAGAGACAUAAUAGACCAGAGAUUACCAGCGGCUGGGGGAAGAGAAAUGGGGAAUUAUGGUCUUGUGGGUACAGAAGUUUUGUUUGAAGUAAGCUUAACCAACUGAACUGCCCAAGUGCCUCUAAAU
Canis lupus familiaris (dog) is the source of this 984-nucleotide long non-coding RNA. RefSeq lists it as uncharacterized. The transcript has 7 exons. The record is from RefSeq and is a predicted model, not a curated record. NCBI's taxonomy places the organism in Eukaryota, Metazoa, Chordata, Mammalia, Carnivora, Canidae.